RNAcentral lists this microRNA precursor (72 nucleotides) under Biomphalaria glabrata. RNAcentral's name for it is "mir-137 microRNA precursor family". It matches the Rfam family "mir-137 microRNA precursor family". Lineage: Eukaryota; Metazoa; Mollusca; Gastropoda; Planorbidae. The record is from Rfam by way of RNAcentral.
GUCUCUUACGGGUAUUCUUGGGUAAAUAAUACAACAUCAGGCUGUUAUUGCUUGAGAAUACACGUAACGGCC